RNAcentral lists this ribosomal RNA (252 nucleotides) under uncultured bacterium. RNAcentral's name for it is "partial small subunit ribosomal RNA". It matches the Rfam family "Bacterial small subunit ribosomal RNA", at positions 26 to 285 of the family's 1533-position model. The record is from RNAcentral.
AGGACGAACGCUGGCGGCGUGCUUAACACAUGCAAGUCGAGCGGUAAGGCCCUUCGGGGUACACGAGCGGCGAACGGGUGAGUAACACGUGGGUGACCUGCCCUCAGCUCUGGGAUAAGCCCGGGAAACUGGGUCUAAUACCGGAUAUGACUUUCGGUUGCAUGACUGGGAGUGGAAAGUUUUUCGGCUGGGAUGGGCCCGCGGCCUAUCAGCUUGUUGGUGGGUGAUGGCCUACCAAGGCGACGACGGGUA